AUUGAACGCUGGCGGAAUGCUUUACACAUGCAAGACGAACGAUGAGACCUAGCUUGCUAGGUUGAUUAGUGGCGAACGGGUGAGUAAUGUAUCGGAACGUAUCCAAUAAAGGGGGAUAACUAACCGAAAGGUUAGCUAAUACCGCAUACGCCCUACGGGGGAAAGCCGGGGAUCUUCGGACCUUGCGUUAAUGGAGGGGCCGGUAUCUGAUUAGCUAGGUGGUGAGGUAAAGGAUCACCAAGGCGACGAUCAGUAGCUGGUCUGAGAGGACGACCAGCCACACUGGAACUGGGACACGGUCCAGACUCCUACGGGAGGCAGCAGUGGGGAAUUUUGGACAAUGGGCGAAAGCCUGAUCCAGCCAUUCCGCGUGAGUGACGAAGGCCUUCGGGUUGUAAAGCUCUUUCGCAAGGGAAGAAAACUUACUUUCUAAUAAAGAGUGAGGUUGACGGUACCUUGAUAAGAAGCACCGGCUAACUACGUGCCAGCCGCCGCAGUAA
Molecule: ribosomal RNA, 500 nt
Filed under: uncultured bacterium
Lineage: Bacteria
Description: partial 16S ribosomal RNA
Rfam family: Bacterial small subunit ribosomal RNA
Source: RNAcentral